RNAcentral lists this ribosomal RNA (467 nucleotides) under uncultured bacterium. RNAcentral describes it as "partial 16S ribosomal RNA". It matches the Rfam family "Bacterial small subunit ribosomal RNA", at positions 355 to 835 of the family's 1533-position model. The record is from RNAcentral.
UGGGGAAUAUUGGACAAUGGGGGCAACCCUGAUCCAGCAAUGCCGCGUGUGUGAAGAAGGUCUUCGGAUUGUAAAGCACUUUCGACGGGGACGAUGAUGACGGUACCCGUAGAAGAAGCCCCCGGCUAACUUCGUGCCAGCAGCCGCGGUAAUACGAAGGGGGCUAGCGUUGCUCGGAAUGACUGGGCGUAAAGGGCGUGUAGGCGGUUUACACAGUCAGAUGUGAAAUCCCCGGGCUUAACCUGGGAGCUGCAUUUGAUACGUGUAGACUAGAGUGUGAGAGAGGGUUGUGGAAUUCCCAGUGUAGAGGUGAAAUUCGUAGAUAUUGGGAAGAACACCGGUGGCGAAGGCGGCAACCUGGCUCAUGACUGACGCUGAGGCGCGAAAAGCGUGGGGAGCAAAACAGGAUUAGAUACCCUGGUAGUCCACGCUGUAAAACGAUGUGUGCUAGAUGUUGGGUAACUUUG